CCUACGGGGGGCAGCAGUGGGGAAUAUUGCACAAUGGGGGAAACCCUGAUGCAGCGACGCCGCGUGAGUGAAGAAGUAUUUCGGUAUGUAAAGCUCUAUCAGCAGGGAAGAAAAUGACGGUACCUGACUAAGAAGCCCCGGCUAACUACGUGCCAGCAGCCGCGGUAAUACGUAGGGGGCAAGCGUUAUCCGGAUUUACUGGGUGUAAAGGGAGCGUAGACGGCGCGGCAAGUCUGAAGUGAAAGGCAGGGGCUUAACCCCUGAACUGCUUUGGAAACUGUGUAACUGGAGUACAGGAGGGGCAGGCGGAAUUCCUGGUGUAGCGGUGAAAUGCGUAGAUAUCAGGAGGAACACCGGCGGCGAAGGCGGCCUGCUGGACUGAAACUGACGUUGAGGCUCGGAAGCGUGGGGAGCAAACAGGAUUAGAUACCCGAGUAGUC
This 440-nucleotide ribosomal RNA is filed under the name uncultured bacterium. RNAcentral's name for it is "partial 16S ribosomal RNA". It matches the Rfam family "Bacterial small subunit ribosomal RNA", at positions 338 to 795 of the family's 1533-position model. The record is from RNAcentral.